GACGAACGCUGGCGGCGUGCUUAACACAUGCAAGUCGAACGGAAAGGCCCUGCUUUUGUGGGGUGCUCGAGUGGCGAACGGGUGAGUAACACGUGAGUAACCUGCCCUUGACUUUGGGAUAACUUCAGGAAACUGGGGCUAAUACCGGAUAGGAGCUCCUGCUGCAUGGUGGGGGUUGGAAAGUUUCGGCGGUUGGGGAUGGACUCGCGGCUUAUCAACUUGUUGGUGGGGUAGUGGCUUACCAAGGCUUUGACGGGUAGCCGGCCUGAGAGGGUGACCGGCCACAUUGGGACUGAGAUACGGCCCAGACUCCUACGGGAGGCAGCAGUGGGGAAUAUUGCACAAUGGGCGGAAGCCUGAUGCAGCAACGCCGCGUGCGGGAUGACGGCCUUCGGGUUGUAAACCGCUUUCGCCUGUGACGAAGCGUGAGUGACGGUAAUGGGUAAAGAAGCACCGGCUAACUACGUGCCAGCAGCCGCGGUGAUACGUAGGGUGCGAGCGUUGUCCGGAUUUAUUGGGCGUAAAGGGCUCGUAGGUGGUUGAUCGCGUCGGAAGUGUAAUCUUGGGGCUUAACCCUGAGCGUGCUUUCGAUACGGGUUGACUUGAGGAAGGUAGGGGAGAAUGGAAUUCCUGGUGGAGCGGUGGAAUGCGCAGAUAUCAGGAGGAACACCAGUGGCGAAGGCGGUUCUCUGGGCCUUUCCUGACGCUGAGGAGCGAAAGCGUGGGGAGCGAACAGGCUUAGAUACCCUGGUAGUCCACGCUGUAAACGGUGGGUACUAGGUGUGGGGUCCAUUCCACGGGUUCCGUGCCGUAGCUAACGCUUUAAGUACCCCGCCUGGGGAGUACGGCCGCAAGGCUAAAACUCAAAGGAAUUGACGGGGCCCCGCACAAGCGGCGGAGCAUGCGGAUUAAUUCGAUGCAACGCGUAGAACCUUACCUGGGUUUGACAUGGAUCGGGAGUGCUCAGAGAUGGGUGUGCCUCUUUUGGGGUCGGUUCACAGGUGGUGCAUGGCUGUCGUCAGCUCGUGUCGUGAGAUGUUGGGUUAAGUCCCGCAACGAGCGCAACCCUUGUUCACUGUUGCCAGCACGUUAUGGUGGGGACUCAGUGGAGACCGCCGGGGUCAACUCGGAGGAAGGUGGGGAUGACGUCAAGUCAUCAUGCCCCUUAUGUCUAGGGCUUCACGCAUGCUACAAUGGCUGGUACAGAGAGUGGCGAGCCUGUGAGGGUGAGCGAAUCUCGGAAAGCCGGUCUCAGUUCGGAUUGGGGUCUGCAACUCGACCUCAUGAAGUCGGAGUCGCUAGUAAUCGCAGAUCAGCAACGCUGCGGUGAAUACGUUCCCGGG
Molecule: ribosomal RNA, 1343 nt
Filed under: uncultured bacterium
Lineage: Bacteria
Description: 16S ribosomal RNA
Rfam family: Bacterial small subunit ribosomal RNA
Source: RNAcentral